Molecule: ribosomal RNA, 465 nt
Filed under: uncultured bacterium
Lineage: Bacteria
Description: partial 16S ribosomal RNA
Rfam family: Bacterial small subunit ribosomal RNA
Source: RNAcentral
GACGAACGCUGGCGGCGCGCUUAACACAUGCAAGUCGAACGGAAAGGCCCCUUUGGGGGUACUCGAGUGGCGAACGGGUGAGUAACACGUGAGUAACCUGCCCUUGACUUCGGGAUAACUUCAGGAAACUGGGGCUAAUACCGGAUAGGAAUCCUUGCUGCAUGGUGGGGGUUGGAAAGCUUCGGCGGUUUUGGAUGGACUCGCGGCUUAUCAGCUUGUUGGUGGGGUAGUGGCUUACCAAGGCUUUGACGGGUAGCCGGCCUGAGAGGGCGACCGGCCACAUUGGGACUGAGAUACGGCCCAGACUCCUACGGGAGGCAGCGGUGGGGAAUAUUGCACAAUGGGCGGAAGCCUGAUGCAGCAACGCCGCGUGCGGGAUGACGGCCUUCGGGUUGUAAACCGCUUUCAGCAGGGGCGAAGCUUGUGGUGACGGUACCUGCAGAAGAAGCACCGGCUAACUACGUG